RNAcentral lists this ribosomal RNA (506 nucleotides) under uncultured bacterium. RNAcentral describes it as "partial 16S ribosomal RNA". It matches the Rfam family "Bacterial small subunit ribosomal RNA", at positions 30 to 523 of the family's 1533-position model. The record is from RNAcentral.
AUUGAACGCUGGCGGCAGGCCUAACACAUGCAAGUCGAACGGCAGCACAGAAGAGCUUGCUCUUUGGGUGGCGAGUGGCGGACGGGUGAGUAAUGUCUGGGAAACUGCCCGAUGGAGGGGGAUAACUACUGGAAACGGUAGCUAAUACCGCAUAACGUCGCGAGACCAAAGUGGGGGACCUUCGGGCCUCACACCAUCGGAUGUGCCCAGAUGGGAUUAGCUAGUAGGUGGGGUAAUGGCUCACCUAGGCGACGCUCCCUAGCUGGUCUGAGAGGAUGACCAUCCACACUGGAACUGAGACACGGUCCAGACUCCUACGGGAGGCAGCAGUGGGGAAUAUUGCACAAUGGGCGCAAGCCUGAUGCAGCCAUGCCGCGUGUAUGAAGAAGGCCUUCGGGUUGUAAAGUACUUUCAGCGGGGAGGAAGGCGGUGAGGUUAAUAACCUCGCCGAUUGACGUUACCCGCAGAAGAAGCACCGGCUAACUCCGUGCCAGCCGCCGCGGUAA